UCUCUCAGACAUAGUGGCAGGUUGGAGCUGAGGCAGCAGGACAGACUGUGACUAAUUGCGAGGUGAUUGGGGAGCAUGUCUUAUGAGGAACUGAGCUUACCUAGCAUGGCAAAGCCAGGACAGUGAAAGACAGAGGAUCCUUCCUGAAAGAAUGGCAUCCGCCAGGUUUUUGUAAGGUCUCUGGGGAUAGGAAAAGGACCAACCAGAUUUCAGACUUCCCGGAGCCAGCUGUAUGCAAUCAUACUUACCUGUUCCUAUUCAGAGGCACUGGGCCAAUCUUGCUUUGGUUUUCUGCGAAAUCUUUAAUUGCCUG
This is a long non-coding RNA of Symphalangus syndactylus (siamang), 313 nucleotides long. RefSeq lists it as uncharacterized. Lineage: Eukaryota; Metazoa; Chordata; Mammalia; Primates; Hylobatidae. The record is from RefSeq and is a predicted model, not a curated record.